CUAGGACGAACGCUGGCGGCAUGCUUCAUACAUGCAAGUCGAACGAUAAGGUCUCUUCGGAGAUACAUAAGUGGCGGACGGGUGAGUAAUAUGUAGGAAAUCUGCCCUUGAGAGGGGGACAACGGUUGGAAACGACCGCUAAUACCCCAUAUGAGCGUACCUGAAAUGGUAUUCUUGAAAACUCCGGUGCUCAAGGAUGAGCCUGCAUCUGAUUAGCUUGUUGGCGGUGUAAUGGACCACCAAGGCGACGAUCAGUAGCUGGUUUGAGAGGAUGAUCAGCCACAAUGGGACUGAGACACGGCCCAUACUCCUACGGGAGGCAGCAGUAGGGAAUUUUGCGCAAUGGGCGAAAGCCCUGACGCAGCAAUGCCGCGUGAACGUAGAAGCCCUUCGGGGUGUAAAGUUCUGUCAGUAGGGACGAAUUUUGACGGUACCUACGGAGGAAGCACCGGCUAACUCCGUGCCAGCAGCGGC
RNAcentral lists this ribosomal RNA (474 nucleotides) under uncultured bacterium. RNAcentral describes it as "bacterial SSU rRNA". It matches the Rfam family "Bacterial small subunit ribosomal RNA", at positions 26 to 518 of the family's 1533-position model. The record is from RNAcentral.